RNAcentral lists this ribosomal RNA (458 nucleotides) under Theileria annulata. RNAcentral's name for it is "SSU rRNA". It matches the Rfam family "Eukaryotic small subunit ribosomal RNA", at positions 486 to 984 of the family's 1831-position model. Lineage: Eukaryota; Apicomplexa; Aconoidasida; Piroplasmida; Theileriidae. The record is from RNAcentral.
CGGGGCUUAAAGUCUUGUAAUUGGAAUGAUGGGAAUUUAAACCUCUUCCAGAGUAUCAAUUGGAGGGCAAGUCUGGUGCCAGCAGCCGCGGUAAUUCCAGCUCCAAUAGCGUAUAUUAAAAUUGUUGCAGUUAAAAAGCUCGUAGUUGAAUUUCUGCUGCAUUGCUUGUGUCCCUCUGGGGUCUGUGCAUGUGGCUUUUUUCGGACGGGGUUUCUUUGUCUGAAUGUUUACUUUGAGAAAAUUAGAGUGCUCAAAGCAGGCUUUCGCCUUGAAUAGUUUAGCAUGGAAUAAUAAAGUAGGACUUUGGUUCUAUUUUGUUGGUUUUAGGUACCAAAGUAAUGGUUAAUAGGAACAGUUGGGGGCAUUCGUAUUUAACUGUCAGAGGUGAAAUUCUUAGAUUUGUUAAAGACGAACUACUGCGAAAGCAUUUGCCAAGGAUGUUUUCAUUAAUCAAGAAC